AAAAAAGUCACCUUUAAAGAAAAAAGAAAAAGAAACAGUUGAAGAACUGCAGAGUGUAUCCUUGGAUAUAUUAUAUUCCCUGAGGGUCCUCUCCUUCCAUGUUCCUUCUUUUCGUUCUUUCUUUAGAUAAUUUAGACAAUUACAUUACUCAAAAAUGCAACACAAGUGCGUAUAUUACCAAAUUACAUAAUAGUAGACUACCGAGUAUGUUAGGCGU
RNAcentral lists this unclassified non-coding RNA (217 nucleotides) under Hevea brasiliensis (rubber tree). Lineage: Eukaryota; Viridiplantae; Streptophyta; Magnoliopsida; Malpighiales; Euphorbiaceae. The record is from RNAcentral.